GAUGAACGCUGGCUACAGGCUUAACACAUGCAAGUCGAGGGGAAACGACGGGGAAGCUUGCUUCCCCGGGCGUCGACCGGCGCACGGGUGAGUAACGCGUAUCCAACCUGCCUCUGACUGAGGGAUAACCCGUCGAAAGUCGGCCUAAUACCUCAUGGUAUCGUCUGCGGGCAUCCAACGACGAUUAAAGAUUUCAUCGGUCAGGGAUGGGGAUGCGUCUGAUUAGCUUGUUGGCGGGGUAACGGCCCACCAAGGCUACGAUCAGUAGGGGUUCUGAGAGGAAGGUCCCCCACAUUGGAACUGAGACACGGUCCAAACUCCUACGGGAGGCAGCAGUGAGGAAUAUUGGUCAAUGGGCGAGAGCCUGAACCAGCCAAGUAGCGUGCAGGAAGACGGCCCUAUGGGUUGUAAACUGCUUUUAUGCGGGGAUAAAGUGAGGGACGUGUCCCUGAUUGCAGGUACCGCAUGAAUAAGGACCGGCUAAUUCCGUG
Molecule: ribosomal RNA, 491 nt
Filed under: uncultured bacterium
Lineage: Bacteria
Description: partial 16S ribosomal RNA
Rfam family: Bacterial small subunit ribosomal RNA
Source: RNAcentral